AUGGACACGGGCGCUACGAAUCAUCUGAUAGGCGAGAUGGGCAAACUCUCCAUGCAAGAACCAUACCGUGGACAUGAUCAGAUUCACACCGCCAAUGGAGCAGGUAUGCACAUAUCACAUGUUGGUCAGGCCUCUCUCUUAACUCGCACACAAAAAUCUCUUCAUCUACAUAAUGUUCUUAGAGUUCCUUCUACUACUCAUAGCUUAUUAUCUGUUCCUCAACUUACUCGUGACAACAAUGUUUUCACUGAGUUUCAUCCUUUUUAUUUUUUUAUCAAGGAUCGGCCCACGAGGGACGUUCUGCUUAGAGGUCGCCUGCGUGAUGGACUUUAUGCACUUGAUCUGCCAUCUGCUCCUCGAGCGUUCAGCGGUGUCCGUGUUUCGCCCACUCAUUGGCAUGCACGGCUUGGUCAUCCUGCCACUCCCAUAGUUCGUAGUAUUCUACAUAGUCAUAGUCUUCCCAUUGUGUCCAAUAAAGAUGAUGCCAUAGUCUGUGAUGCCUGUCAGCAAGGCAAGAGUCAUCAGCUUUCGUUUUCGGAUUCGAGUCGUGUCAUUAAAACUCCACUUGAGCUUAUUUUUUCUCAUGUAUGGGGGCAUGCCCCAACUUCUGUGAGUGGUCAUAAUUAUUAUGUCAGUUUUAUUGAUACUUAUAGUUGA
This 657-nucleotide ribosomal RNA is filed under the name Triticum aestivum (bread wheat). RNAcentral's name for it is "partial small subunit ribosomal RNA". The record is from RNAcentral. Lineage: Eukaryota; Viridiplantae; Streptophyta; Magnoliopsida; Poales; Poaceae.